GAUGAACGCUGGCGGCGUGCUUAACACAUGCAAGUCGAACGAAGCACUCUAUUUGAUUUUCUUCGGAAAUGAAGAUUUUGUGACUGAGUGGCGGACGGGUGAGUAACGCGUGGGUAACCUGCCUCAUACAGGGGGAUAACAGUUGGAAACGACUGCUAAUACCGCAUAAGCGCACAGGAUUGCAUGAUCCGGUGUGAAAAACUCCGGUGGUAUGAGAUGGACCCGCGUCUGAUUAGCCAGUUGGCAGGGUAACGGCCUACCAAAGCGACGAUCAGUAGCCGACCUGAGAGGGUGACCGGCCACAUUGGGACUGAGACACGGCCCAAACUCCUACGGGAGGCAGCAGUGGGGAAUAUUGCACAAUGGGGGAAACCCUGAUGCAGCGACGCCGCGUGAGCGAAGAAGUAUUUCGGUAUGUAAAGCUCUAUCAGCAGGGAAGAAGAAUGACGGUACCUGACUAAGAAGCACCGGC
Molecule: ribosomal RNA, 472 nt
Filed under: uncultured bacterium
Lineage: Bacteria
Description: bacterial SSU rRNA
Rfam family: Bacterial small subunit ribosomal RNA
Source: RNAcentral